CGGGGGGAGCAAGCGUUGUUCGGAUUUACUGGGCGUAAAGGGCGCGUAGGCGGCCACCGCAAGUCGACUGUGAAAUCUCCGGGCUUAACCCGGAAAGGUCAGCCGAUACUGCGGGGCUAGAGUGCAGAAGGGGCAACUGGAAUUCUCGGUGUAGUGGUGAAAUGCGUAGAUAUCGAGAGGAACACCUGCGGCGAAGGCGGGUUGCUGGGCUGACACUGACGCUGAGGCGCGAAAGCUAGGGGAGCGAACGGGAUUAGAUACCCCGGUAGUCCUAGCCUUAAACGAUGAAUGCUUGGUGUCUGGGGUUUUAUAGUCCCCGGGUGCCGUCGCUAACGCUUUAAGCAUUCCGCCUGGGGAUACGGUCGCAAGACUG
Molecule: ribosomal RNA, 373 nt
Filed under: uncultured organism
Description: bacterial SSU rRNA
Rfam family: Bacterial small subunit ribosomal RNA
Source: RNAcentral